RNAcentral lists this unclassified non-coding RNA (20 nucleotides) under Mus musculus (house mouse). RNAcentral's name for it is "oocyte_clustered_small_RNA8199". The record is from RNAcentral. Lineage: Eukaryota; Metazoa; Chordata; Mammalia; Rodentia; Muridae.
CAAUCACUAAAUAAUGUGAU